This 134-nucleotide small nucleolar RNA is filed under the name Nothobranchius furzeri (turquoise killifish). RNAcentral's name for it is "Small nucleolar RNA SNORA5 (ENSNFUG00015013405.1)". It matches the Rfam family "Small nucleolar RNA SNORA5". From Rfam's summary of the family: ACA5 is a member of the H/ACA class of snoRNA that guide the sites of modification of uridines to pseudouridines. The record is from Rfam by way of RNAcentral. Lineage: Eukaryota; Metazoa; Chordata; Actinopteri; Cyprinodontiformes; Nothobranchiidae.
CGCAGCUUUGUCAAAUUCAGUGCUCCCUCUGUGGGUCGCACUGGCCAAAAUGGCUGCCACACUAACUCUGUGGUUUAUGGGCCCCACGCUUCUGAACCGUGAGCCGUGGGGAUAAAUUUGUUCCACAGACAAUU